UCUCGAUUGCCAUCAUGCUGGGUUCCUUGUGUUGAUCCUGAUAGUUUGCUAAAGCUAAAGUAAUCGACCCUCACUAUCUAAUUACUCCUCAACACCACUUUCUCAAGUCCUAAGACCAUCAUUUCUAGCCGGAUUAUCACCGGUCGAUCAUAAUAUUUCAUGACAAAGAGCUAUUAUUGUUUUGUAUUCUUCUCCCUAAUUUCAGC
This 206-nucleotide long non-coding RNA is filed under the name Elaeis guineensis (African oil palm). RNAcentral's name for it is "long non-coding RNA (EGUI_LNC034754)". Lineage: Eukaryota; Viridiplantae; Streptophyta; Magnoliopsida; Arecales; Arecaceae. The record is from RNAcentral.